This 260-nucleotide long non-coding RNA is filed under the name Bos taurus (domestic cattle). Its description in RNAcentral is "long non-coding RNA NONBTAT007635". The record is from RNAcentral. Lineage: Eukaryota; Metazoa; Chordata; Mammalia; Artiodactyla; Bovidae.
CCAACAUUAUUAAUGCUAUUUAUUUUUUCAUGAUGAUGCCCUUUGGCAGGUCAGAUUCCACUUUUGUUGUGGGAAUCGACACUUACUGGUAUUUGUAAAUGACGUGUGGAUUAAUCAGCAACCAGAAAUUAAUCAUUUAGUUCAGUUCCCUGAAAACUUGCCUGAAAAAUUUCCCCUCUGCUUGGACUGUGCCUUUUCCUUUAAAGAAAAAUGUUUAAAAAAAUCAAAUGCAUACAUGCAUUUAAAUGAAACAAAUCAAC